This 268-nucleotide long non-coding RNA is filed under the name Lathyrus oleraceus (garden pea). RNAcentral's name for it is "Pisum sativum (pea) long non-coding RNA (PSAT_LNC015855)". The record is from RNAcentral. Lineage: Eukaryota; Viridiplantae; Streptophyta; Magnoliopsida; Fabales; Fabaceae.
ACCCUUUGUCCCUUGCGGAGUCAGAUUUUCCUGAGCUGAAGUGUACCUUUUUUUUAGGUCUUCCUCAGAUGAUUUCGGAUGUUUGAUAUCUCUCACCCUUAUACUGGUCUUAGAUAUUCAGUCUUCCCGAGCUUUUUGUUCUCUCACCUUUAUACCGGUGUUCAGAUCGCAUGAGCUUAUUACCCAGUAACCGGUAAUACCCCAUCCCGUUGCUUCCUCAGGGGAGUUUCGAUUGGAUUUUCCCCGGCAAAAUCCCUUAGCGGAUUUU